GCCCCCAUAGUAUAGUGGAUAGAAUUCAAGCUUGCGGAGCUUGAGACCGGGGUUCGAAUACUUUCGGGCUUGCUCAAAAGGAAUAAGACGAAGUCGACUUUCCCCGUGGGGGCA
Molecule: transfer RNA, 114 nt
Filed under: Candidatus Woesearchaeota archaeon
Lineage: Archaea; Nanobdellati; Candidatus Woesearchaeota
Description: tRNA-Arg
Source: RNAcentral